ACGUAGGUGGCAAGCGUUGUCCGGAAUUAUUGGGCGUAAAGCGCGCGCAGGUGGGAUCUUAAGUCCAUUUUGAAAGUUCGGAGCUCAACUCCGUGAUGGGAUGGAAACUGGGAUUCUUGAGUACCGGAGAGGAAAGCGGAAUUCCCCGUGUAGCGGUGAAAUGCGUAGAUAUGGGGAGGAACACCAGUGGCGAAGGCGGCUUUCUGGACGGUGUCUGACACUGAGGCGCGAAAGCCAGGGGAGCGAACGG
RNAcentral lists this ribosomal RNA (250 nucleotides) under uncultured prokaryote. Its description in RNAcentral is "partial 16S ribosomal RNA". It matches the Rfam family "Bacterial small subunit ribosomal RNA", at positions 525 to 775 of the family's 1533-position model. The record is from RNAcentral.